This 219-nucleotide long non-coding RNA is filed under the name Panax ginseng (ginseng). RNAcentral describes it as "long non-coding RNA (PGIN_LNC002542)". The record is from RNAcentral. Lineage: Eukaryota; Viridiplantae; Streptophyta; Magnoliopsida; Apiales; Araliaceae.
UGAACUCAACACAUUUGCAAUACUAGUGGGCCCCACCAACUUGUUAAAAACGUUUUUCUUAAAAAAAAUUUAAAACUCCAAAAAUUAAUUAUUUCAAAACUUCGGAACUUCAAUAAUUCAUAAUAAAUAGCCUUUAAACAGAAAAUUUCAAAUCUUAUGUCCAUUCUAUAGAAAAUUUAAUUCUUUACAACUUUGCAGAAGAAAGUUUUUCCAAAUUCC